Molecule: long non-coding RNA, 733 nt
Organism: Paralichthys olivaceus (Japanese flounder)
Lineage: Eukaryota; Metazoa; Chordata; Actinopteri; Pleuronectiformes; Paralichthyidae
Source: RefSeq, a predicted model, not a curated record
CCCUGCCUCCCCUGUGUAUAUACGUCUGUGUGUCCACUUGUCUUUGUCAGUUUGUUGUUGUCUUUCACCUGUCCUCGACGUGGUUUUCCUCUGUGUUGUUGCCAGUGUCUGCUUCAUGUUUCCAGUGUCCUAGUGUUUUCAAAUGUUUUUUUCAGUUUAGCCUUUUUUGCAGUCGUUUCUAGUUUCCAGUGCCUUUUUAGAUUCCAUUUCAUUUAGCUGACGCUUUUAUCCAAAGCAACUUUCAAUAAGUGCAUCAACCAUGAGGGAACAAACCCAGAACAACAAGAAUCAAAGGGAGUCAUGUGAUAGGAACCCAAUGGAUCUGAGAAGGAUGCAUCUGGACCAAUAAGACUCAAUCAGCAGGCAGAUAUCUCCAUCUGACUGCAGCUGAGCGAGGGCACGGGAGUAUUUUUAACGCUCUGUCUCAACACUGGUUGUUUUCCACUUUCUUUUUCUUUUUCAGAUGUUUACUGCUUUCUGCGGAGCGAGAAUAAACUUUUUGUUUAACAUUUAGCUGUGAAGAGAACACAAACAUUAAACCGGCGUUGACACAGAUACUGGAUCAGAUGAGCUCUUUUCUUUGUCUCAUGUCUGGUCAUGACUUGCAGGGAGGUGUAAAACUCGACGGAGAUUGCAUCAAUCCUUAAGAGUGUCUGGGAUAAGCAAAGAGAAAAGGGUUUUCUCGACUUGUAAAUCUCCUCUGCUCUAAUGUUCUUAUGCUUUAUCUUGGUUU